RNAcentral lists this ribosomal RNA (561 nucleotides) under uncultured bacterium. Its description in RNAcentral is "bacterial SSU rRNA". It matches the Rfam family "Bacterial small subunit ribosomal RNA", at positions 108 to 665 of the family's 1533-position model. The record is from RNAcentral.
GAGUAAUGUCUGGGAAACUGCCCGAUGGAGGGGGAUAACUACUGGAAACGGUAGCUAAUACCGCAUAACGUCGCAAGACCAAAGUGGGGGACCUUCGGGCCUCACACCAUCGGAUGUGCCCAGAUGGGAUUAGCUAGUAGGUGGGGUAAUGGCUCACCUAGGCGACGAUCCCUAGCUGGUCUGAGAGGAUGACCAGCCACACUGGAACUGAGACACGGUCCAGACUCCUACGGGAGGCAGCAGUGGGGAAUAUUGCACAAUGGGCGCAAGCCUGAUGCAGCCAUGCCGCGUGUAUGAAGAAGGCCUUCGGGUUGUAAAGUACUUUCAGCGGGGAGGAAGGCGGUGAAGUUAAUAGCUUCACCGAUUGACGUUACCCGCAGAAGAAGCACCGGCUAACUCCGUGCCAGCAGCCGCGGUAAUACGGAGGGUGCAAGCGUUAAUCGGAAUUACUGGGCGUAAAGCGCACGCAGGCGGUCUGUCAAGUCGGAUGUGAAAUCCCCGGGCUUAACCUGGGAACUGCAUUCGAAACUGGCAGGCUAGAGUCUUGUAGAGGGGGGUAGA